GGCAAGGGGGGCUCUCUCUCCCAACCCCUAUCAACAAACCCUAGCCGCCUCCUUUCACUCGCCACCUUUCACUCUCCUCUUCCAAACCUGUUCGGGAACUGCUUUCCAACACUUAGUAAGUUGUAUUAUAUACCUUCCGUUUGACACUCUCUCUGCCUUCUAAUUGGAUGGAGGGAGUAUCCCCAAGCACCUACACCAUGAUGUUGAAGUAAACUGGUGGAUUCGAUAGCCCAGCAGCUUAAUGCUCCUCCCUGCCUUCUAGUUGGCAAAACACCGAUGCUUGUUUUUGAAUGACGUAUGCCACCGUCCGUGAGAUGGAAAGCAGCUGUAAGCAGAUUAACUUACAAUAGUAAUUAUUUAUUAUAUAAUAAUACAAUCUCAAACACUGAUAUAUGUACGCCUGUAGGCCUCUACAUAUGGCUAUAUGCAUACCUAUCUUACAAGUAUGAGUACCUUUAAGGAUAGGUAAAUGCCCGGCGUGGCGGCACAUCUUCAAGAGUUUGCUAACUAAAUGAGGUUGCCAUCCUUGAAAAUUUGGCAAGACAAGAAACUUACUCUCCAAUAGAUUGGCAAAUCGACUUGGCAAUUUUGGGAACUUGGCAUCCUUUCCCUCCUUAAGCACAUAUAUGCGCACGCGUAUCCACUGCGCAUCAGAGUUUCCUGCACGCGCGAGUGAUGGCGCUCCUGGUACAUAAAAGCGACGAACAUUGGUUGUUUGCUCCUCCUCGUGAUGCUUAAUUUAAUCCAAGCCGCCUGCUGUUGUAGGUCCUUGUCUCCUGCCGAAAGGAUGUUGAGUGUCUACUCCUCUUUGGGAUUCGGAAAUAAUUCUCCUGCCGAAAGGACAUUGAGUGUCUGCUCCUCUUUGUGAUUCGGAAAUAAAACCCUGCUAGCUAGUGGUAUUGAAUGCUACUAGCUCAUGUCCAUCACAAUAAAAUAUAGCUCAUGGUCGUCAGAGGGAAGAUACCUGCAGCACAGGGAGCAGAUGACCGGUUGCGUCAAUCUCGCGUGAAGGAUAUGAGUCGUGAUGUACUGUUGACGGGUAACAAAAUAGGUCUCCUUUUUUUUUGUUAUGACAAAUUAAAAAUAGCAAACUCUUGGAGAUAUUUUCUUUUUUACUUGGGAAAUUGUUUUGAGAGUUGGCAAAAUACAAAAUUUGCCAAGUAAAAGAUAACAAACUCUUGGAGAUGCUUGAGAGAAUCUCGUGCGGACGCAUUUGUCAUGCACGCGAAUGCGCGUCUAUGAAGUGUCUUAUAUAUAUAAAAAGAAGUUAAAUGGUCAGUUUCUACAAAGCCAUAGGUUUGUUCUAUAUUGUUGGGGUGCAGAGGAUAGGAUAUAGUAUUCUUUGGACGACCCGUGCGUCGUGCGAGCAAAC
This 1372-nucleotide long non-coding RNA is filed under the name Sorghum bicolor (sorghum). RNAcentral's name for it is "long non-coding RNA (SBIC_LNC009735)". The record is from RNAcentral. Lineage: Eukaryota; Viridiplantae; Streptophyta; Magnoliopsida; Poales; Poaceae.